This 432-nucleotide ribosomal RNA is filed under the name uncultured bacterium. Its description in RNAcentral is "partial 16S ribosomal RNA". It matches the Rfam family "Bacterial small subunit ribosomal RNA", at positions 29 to 506 of the family's 1533-position model. The record is from RNAcentral.
AACGAACGCUGGCGGCAUGCCUAACACAUGCAAGUCGAACGAGACCUUCGGGUCUAGUGGCGCACGGGUGCGUAACGCGUGGGAACCUGCCCUUAGGUUCGGAAUAACUCCCCGAAAGGGGUGCUAAUACCGGAUAAUGUCUUCGGACCAAAGAUUUAUCGCCUUUGGAUGGGCCCGCGUUGGAUUAGCUAGUUGGUAGGGUAAAAGCCUACCAAGGCGACGAUCCAUAGCUGGUCUGAGAGGAUGAUCAGCCACACUGGGACUGAGACACGGCCCAGACUCCUACGGGAGGCAGCAGUGGGGAAUAUUGGACAAUGGGCGAAAGCCGGAUCCAGCAAUGCCGCGGGAGUGAUGAAGGCCUUAGGGUUGUAAAGCUCUUUUACCCGGGAUGAUAAGGACAGUACCGGGAGAAUAAGCUCCGGCUAACUCCGG